UGGGGAAUAUUGCACAAUGGGCGCAAGCCUGAUGCAGCCAUGCCGCGUGUAUGAAGAAGGCCUUCGGGUUGUAACGUACUUUCAGUCGGGAGGAAGGUGGUAAGGUUAAUUACCUUAUCACUUGACGCUACCGACAGAAGAAGCACCGGCUAACUCCGUGCCAGCUGCCGCGGUAAUACGGAGGGUGCAAGCGUUAAUCGGAAUUACUGGGCGUAAAGCGCACGCAGGCGGUUGAUUGAGUCAGAUGUGAAAUCCACGGGCUUAACCCGGGAAUUGCAUCUGAUACUGGUCAGCUAGAGUCUUGUAGAGGGGGGUAGAAUUCCAUGUGUAGCGGUGAAAUGCGUAGAGAGGUGGAGGAAUACCGGUGGCGAAGGCGGCCCCCUGGACAAAGACUGACGCUCAGGUGCGAAAGCGUGGGGAGCAAACAGG
This 429-nucleotide ribosomal RNA is filed under the name Chloroflexota bacterium. RNAcentral's name for it is "Chloroflexi bacterium partial 16S ribosomal RNA". It matches the Rfam family "Bacterial small subunit ribosomal RNA", at positions 355 to 776 of the family's 1533-position model. Lineage: Bacteria; Bacillati; Chloroflexota. The record is from RNAcentral.